UCGAGAAUCUUCGGCAAUGAGCGCAAGCUUGACCGAGCGAUGCCGCGUGCGGGAUGAAGGCCCUCGGGUUGUAAACCGCUGUCGUAGGGGAAUAAUGGUCAGAGGGUACUCUCUCUGAUUUGAAUGAUCCUAGGAGGAAGGACGGGCUAAGUUCGUGCCAGCAGCCGCGGUAAGACGAACCGUCCAAACGUUAUUCGGAAUCACUGGGCUUACAGAGUUCGUAGGCGGUCUGGAAAGUUGGGUGUGAAAUCCCUCGGCCUAACCGAGGAACUGCGCUUGAAACUACCAGACUCGAGGGGGAUAGAGGAAAGCGGAACUGAUGGUGGAGCGGUGAAAUGCGUUGAUAUCAUCAGGAACACCGGUGGCGAAGGCGGCUUUCUGGGUCUUACCUGACGCUGAGGAACGAAAGCCAGGGGAGCGAACGG
RNAcentral lists this ribosomal RNA (425 nucleotides) under uncultured bacterium. Its description in RNAcentral is "bacterial SSU rRNA". It matches the Rfam family "Bacterial small subunit ribosomal RNA", at positions 355 to 775 of the family's 1533-position model. The record is from RNAcentral.